UACGAAGGGGGCUAGCGUUGUUCGGAAUUACUGGGCGUAAAGCGCACGUAGGCGGAUUGUUAAGUUAGGGGGUGAAAUCCCAGGGCUCAACCCUGGAACUGCCUUUAAUACUGGCAAUCUCGAGUCCGAGAGAGGUGAGUGGAAUUCCGAGUGUAGAGGUGAAAUUCGUAGAUAUUCGGAGGAACACCAGUGGCGAAGGCGGCUCACUGGCUCGGUACUGACGCUGAGGUGCGAAAGCGUGGGGAGCAAACAGGG
Molecule: ribosomal RNA, 255 nt
Filed under: uncultured bacterium
Lineage: Bacteria
Description: partial 16S ribosomal RNA
Rfam family: Bacterial small subunit ribosomal RNA
Source: RNAcentral